Non-coding RNA from Desmophyllum pertusum, 74 nucleotides. NCBI's taxonomy places the organism in Eukaryota, Metazoa, Cnidaria, Anthozoa, Scleractinia, Caryophylliidae. The record is from the annotation of a GenBank genome assembly.
GGCGUGGUGGUCUAAUGGUUAGCUAGUUGGAUUCCGGAUUGAGAGGUCCAGGUUCGAGCCCUGGCCUGGGGUCA